UGGGGAAUUUUGGACAAUGGGGGAAACCCUGAUCCAGCCAUCCCGCGUGUGCGAUGAAGGCCUUCGGGUUCUAAAGCACUUUUGGCAGGAAAGAAACGUCAUGGGUUAAUACCCCGUGAAACUGACGGUACCUGCAGAAUAAGCACCGGCUAACUACGUGCCAGCAGCCGCGGUAAUACGUAGGGUGCAAGCGUUAAUCGGAAUUACUGGGCGUAAAGCGUGCGCAGGCGGUUCGGAAAGAAAGAUGUGAAAUCCCAGAGCUCAACUUUGGAACUGCAUUUUUAACUACCGGGCUAGAGUGUGUCAGAGGGAGGUGGAAUUCCGCGUGUAGCAGUGAAAUGCGUAGAUAUGCGGAGGAACACCGAUGGCGAAGGCAGCCUCCUGGGAUAACACUGACGCUCAUGCACGAAAGCGUGGGGAGCAAACAGG
This 429-nucleotide ribosomal RNA is filed under the name Acidobacteriota bacterium. RNAcentral's name for it is "Acidobacteria bacterium partial 16S ribosomal RNA". It matches the Rfam family "Bacterial small subunit ribosomal RNA", at positions 355 to 776 of the family's 1533-position model. The record is from RNAcentral. Lineage: Bacteria; Pseudomonadati; Acidobacteriota.